Molecule: ribosomal RNA, 762 nt
Filed under: Triticum aestivum (bread wheat)
Lineage: Eukaryota; Viridiplantae; Streptophyta; Magnoliopsida; Poales; Poaceae
Description: partial small subunit ribosomal RNA
Source: RNAcentral
CGGCCGCCGACGCCGCCUCGUCCGAGAGGUGAGGUUUUUUCAUUUUUUUCAUUUUGUUUCAUUUUCUUUUUGUUUCAUUUUUUAGCACUAAUGAGUGAAUGUCCUUUGCAGAUGGAGAUGAACAAUGAGGAGAUUGUCAUGUCUGAUUCGUCGGAUUGGUCGACAUCUGACGAUUCCGACAUUGAGGAGUUGUUGCAAGAUGACGACGUCGAGAUGAUGAGCCUCCUCAUCGACGUGCAAUCGUUUGAAAACCGCGUGAAGCUGAUGGAUCAGAGGAGAGGGUCGAAGAUGGGCCGAGUCACCAUCUACCGGAACCGCGCUCUCGGACACGAACAUUUGAUGGAAGACUACUUCUCCGAGGUACCUACAUACCCUCCUCGUCUCUUCCGCAGAAGGUACCGAAUGCGGCGUAGUUUGUUUGUGAAGAUUGUCACCGAUUGUGAGGCCGCCUCAUAUUACUUUAAACGUCGUAGAUCCGCCGCCGGUAUCAUGGGGUUUAGUGCAUAUCAAAAGAUAUCGGCGGCAAUGCGGGUACUCGCUUAUGGCAUACCCGCGGAUUAUACCGACGAGUAUCUUCGCAUUGGGCAAGAUACGACCACGGAGUCAGUCCGUAGGUUUGCCAAGUUGGUCAUCAAGUUGUACGGUGAGCAGUAUCUUCGGGCACCAAACGAGGAAGAUACAAAAAGAUUAAUGGAAAUGAAUGAAAAAAGGGGAUGGCCGGGGAUGCUAGGUAGUCUUGACUGCAUGCAUUGGAGGUGGAAA